CCUUUGGAGGGUUUGAUCCUGGCUCAGAGUGAACGCUGGCGGCGUGGUUUAGGCAUGCAAGUCGAGCGAUCUUAUAGCCAGUAUUAUUGUUUCGCAAGAAACAAGAGUACUGGCUGUAGGAUAGCGGCAAACGGGUGAGUAAUAAGUGGAUAACAUCCCUUAAGGAGGAUGAUAGCCUACCGAAAGGUGGGGUAAUACUCCAUAUGUCCAAAAUUUGAAAUAGUUUUGGAUGAAAGAUGGCCUCUGGAUUUUCCAAGCUAUCACCUUAAGAUUGGUCCACUUCCUAUCAGGUAGUUGGUAGGGUAAAAGCCUACCAAGCCUAAGACGGGUAGCUGGCUUGAGAGAGUGGUCAGCCACAUCGGAACUGAGACACUGUCCGGACUCCUACGGGAGGCUGCAGUCGAGAAUCUUUUCCAAUGGGCGAAAGCCUGAGAAUGCGACGCCGCGUGAGGGAUGAAGGCCUUCGGGUUGUAAACCUCUUUUAUUGGGGAGGAAUGCGUUUGGAGCAAAUAGCUCCAGACGAGUGACUGUACUCAAUGAAUAAGCCACGGCUAACUCCGUGCCAGCAGCCGCGGUAAUACGGAGGUGGCUAGCGUUACUCGGUUUGACUGGGUGUAAAGGGUCCGCAGGCGGCUAAAUGUGUGAAAGGUGAAAUCCUUUAGCUCAACUAAAGAACUGCCUUUCAAACUAUUUAGCUUGAGACUGAAAGAGGAGAACGGAACUGCCGGUGUAAGGGUGAAAUCUGUGGAUAUUGGCGGGAACGCCAGUGGGGAAGCCGGUUCUCUGGUUCAGAUCUGACGCUCAGGGACGAAAGCUAGGGGAGCAAACAGAAUUAGAUACUCUGGUAGUCCUAGCCGUAAACGAUGGACACUAGGUGUCUGUCUGUUAUGGAUGGGCGCCCAAGUUAACACGUUAAGUGUCCCACCUGGAGACUACGGCCGCAAGGCUAAAACUCAAAGGAAUUGACGGGGGCCCGCACAAGCGGUGGAACACGUGGUUUAAUUCGAUGCUACGCGAGGAACCUUAUCCAGGGCUUGACAUGCUGGUAGUAACCGCCGGAAACGGUUGGUGAACUGUAUCCAGUCAGUUGCCAGCACAGGUGCUGCAUGGCUGUCGUCAGCUCGUGCCGUGAGGUGUUUCCUUAAGUGGAAGAACGAGCGCAACCCUCGCCCUUAGUUGCCACCUUUAGUUUUUAACUAAAGAGCACUCUAGGGGGACUACCCGCGUUAAGUGGGGGGAAGGUGGGGAUGACGUCAAGUCCGCAUGGCCUUUAUGUCCUGGGCUACACACGUGUUACAAUGCCUGCUACAGAGGGAGGCGAAACCGUAAGGUGGAGCAAAUCCCAAAAAAGCAGGCCCAGUUCAGAUUGAGGGCUGCAACUCGACCUCAUGAAGCCGGAAUCGCUAGUAAUGGCGCAUCAGCUAUGGCGCCGUGAAUACGUUCCCGGGCCUUGUACACACCGCCCGUCAAGCGCUGAAAGUCGGAGGCACCUGAAGUCUACCUUUGGUGGAUCACGGUGAAUUUGAUGAUUGGCGCUAAGUCGUAACAAGGUAGCCGUACGGGAACGUGCGGCUGGAUCACCUCCUUU
RNAcentral lists this ribosomal RNA (1588 nucleotides) under Candidatus Omnitrophota bacterium. RNAcentral's name for it is "bacterial SSU rRNA". It matches the Rfam family "Bacterial small subunit ribosomal RNA". The record is from RNAcentral. Lineage: Bacteria; Pseudomonadati; Candidatus Omnitrophota.